GCAUUGGCGGUUCAAUGGUAGAAGUCUCACCUUCUAUGCAGGAGAACCUAGUUUGAUUCUUGGCCAAUGCA
RNAcentral lists this transfer RNA (71 nucleotides) under Loxodonta africana (African savanna elephant). It matches the Rfam family "tRNA". Rfam says of the family: Transfer RNA (tRNA) molecules are approximately 80 nucleotides in length. The record is from Rfam by way of RNAcentral. Lineage: Eukaryota; Metazoa; Chordata; Mammalia; Proboscidea; Elephantidae.